Molecule: long non-coding RNA, 371 nt
Organism: Pipistrellus kuhlii (Kuhl's pipistrelle)
Lineage: Eukaryota; Metazoa; Chordata; Mammalia; Chiroptera; Vespertilionidae
Exons: 2
Source: RefSeq, a predicted model, not a curated record
UUAAUUUUUAUAUAUUUAAUUUUACUUAAUAUAUCUAAGGUAUUACCUUAUUUUAAUAUGUAAUCAUUAUCUUAAAUUUGUUCAUGAAAUACAUUUUAUUUCUACUAAAUCUUCGAACUCCAGUAUUGUGAACUUAGCUUCGACUCACUGCAUUUGAAAGACUCAGUGAACAAGUGACUGAGGCUACCAUUAGACAGAAAUAGUAAAGAAAUAGUGUUUUCUAAAUGAGUCAUUACCAGAACCUGAAAGACAUUCAGAGCACAGGCCAUUAAGGAGACUCUUAAGAUUAACCAAAUUACUGGUUUUUAUUAAUGAGCCACAGGUUACUUAAUCCAAGUGAUAGCAUUAAAUUUUGAUUGUAUAUAUUUAAA